Molecule: unclassified non-coding RNA, 961 nt
Filed under: Montagnula sp. 1 NV-2015
Lineage: Eukaryota; Fungi; Ascomycota; Dothideomycetes; Pleosporales; Didymosphaeriaceae
Description: sequence contains ITS1, 5.8S rRNA gene and ITS2
Rfam family: 5.8S ribosomal RNA (bases 597-750)
Source: RNAcentral
GCAGCUGGAGACAGUAGCCCAGACGACGUAAAACAAGUUGGUGCCUCAUGCAAGUCGGCUCCGGCCGGCGACACUUUCGAAUUGCGGGGAACCCCUAAGAGCCCUCCACACCAAACCGGCCCGGGAAACCGGCCGGUGGCCCAUCGGAAACCAUGGGGUACGGUAACAGCUGGAGGGAUGAGCCGGCGCCGCGAGGCGCCCGGUGAAAUGGGCGAUCCGCAGCGAAGCCCCUGGCGUUGAUGGUGGCAACCUCCGAGCUCCGCUCGGGCCUGGAUCUGCUGAGGCUUGCCCUCGGACUUUUCCUCCUGCGCUGCCAAACGUGGGGAACGUUCACAGACUAAGCGGAAGUGGGUGGAGCGCUUCGGCGGCUCUGCUUGAGAUGUAGUCGGGCCCCCCUGGAAACAGGGGGGAUGAGCAACCGUUCCGUAGGUGAACCUGCGGAAGGAUCAUUAAACAUUUUGGCCGUAACAAGCCUCAACCCUUCUCUACGUGUACCUCCACAUUCUCCUUCGGCGGGGUAACGCCCGCCGUCGGAACCUCACCAACCCUCUUUGCAUCUAGCAUGAUACCAGUUCUGAUAAAAAUACAAUCGUUACAACUUUCAACAAUGGAUCUCUUGGCUCUGGCAUCGAUGAAGAACGCAGCGAAAUGCGAUAAGUAGUGUGAAUUGCAGAAUUCAGUGAAUCAUCGAAUCUUUGAACGCACAUUGCGCCCCUUGGUAUUCCAUGGGGCAUGCCUGUUCGAGCGUCAUCUACACCCUCAAGCUCUGCUUGGUGUUGGGCGUCUGUCCCGCCUCGGCGCGCGGACUCGCCCCAAAUCCAUUGGCAGCGUCCCUUGCCCCCUCUCGCGCAGCACAUUGCGCUUCUCGAGGGCGGCUCCGGGGCGCGACCCACCGAAGAUGACCACCGUCUUUGACCUCGGAUCAGGUAGGGAUACCCGCUGAACUUAAGCAUAUCAAUAA